CCGAUAAAGGCAAACCUGUCGAAAGGCAGGGACGCAAAGCUAUAGGGCCUAAGCAUGUUGUGGCAGCCAGCUACCGA
This 77-nucleotide non-coding RNA is filed under the name uncultured Paenibacillus sp. RNAcentral describes it as "Cyclic di-GMP-I riboswitch". It matches the Rfam family "c-di-GMP-I-GGC riboswitch aptamer". Lineage: Bacteria; Bacillati; Bacillota; Bacilli; Caryophanales; Paenibacillaceae. The record is from RNAcentral.